Long non-coding RNA from Oncorhynchus tshawytscha (Chinook salmon), 815 nucleotides. NCBI's taxonomy places the organism in Eukaryota, Metazoa, Chordata, Actinopteri, Salmoniformes, Salmonidae. The record is from Ensembl.
GUCCAAUGCAAAAUCAUGCCCGCUCCUUGUCCCCUGCCUUAGGUGAAACAGUCGUUCAACUCUGCCUAAUGGUCCAACGCCGCGUUUCCCUCACUCCAUACGGCGUUGGCCCACUCCAGGACUUAGCCUGAGAGGCCGGAGACGAGGGCGGACACGCUCUCACAUCCCGAAGGAGCCGGGUGGACGGUCGCCAGGUAGAGCUCAAGCUGGAGUAGGAACCCCUGGCAUCCGGCCACCGUCCCAUCAUACUCCCUCGGAAGUGCGAGCCGAAUCCCGCUGGAACCGGGUGAAGGAGGGGUGGACAGUGGGACCUGCUGUAGUGGGGAUGUUGGAGGCGCUGGACGACCUCCUCCUCUCUCCCAACGAUCCAUCUUCUGCAGCACUCGAUCCAUGGCGGUUGCAAUAUGGUCACGUGCUGCUGGACACGCUCCUCUAUCUCCACAGGGAGGGGGUCUGCUCCUGCUGACUCCAUUCUUUUGGUUGUAAAGUUAAGCAACUUAGAGCAGAAAAACAAACAUCGUCAAGGGUCUGAAGCACCCAGAGACCCAGGAAGGAAUCCGAGGAGCCGGCCAGGAGCCACCUGCCACAUGGAGUCCAUCCAUCUACAAAACACAGGGCUGUCUAAGGCAUCACAAUAACAUGAGUUUUGAACAAUUACCUUUUCUUUUUAUUAAGAUCUAGGGUAGACCCAUUUGUCACAUAUUUGUGUUUAUUGAACAGGACAGAGGUAUCGAGGAAAGAGAAAGGAGAGAAUUUCUGAAAGAGCUCUAAUAGGCUGAGUCAGAAGCUCAGACUGCUAGACUACUCUAGGGCCC